RNAcentral lists this unclassified non-coding RNA (373 nucleotides) under fungal sp. Its description in RNAcentral is "partial internal transcribed spacer region". The stretch from base 1 to 46 matches the Rfam family "Eukaryotic small subunit ribosomal RNA", at positions 1786 to 1831 of the family's 1831-position model. Lineage: Eukaryota; Fungi. The record is from RNAcentral.
AAGUCGUAACAAGGUUUCCGUAGGUGAACCUGCGGAAGGAUCAUUAUCAAAACGUAUCCACGUUAUAAACAAACCGUGAACUGUUUAACAUGCCUUUGGAGGUGAUAAGACUGAGAAAGAGGUGUCCAUUGUGUGGUUUGGAUUUUUAUAAACCUAUUUCUCGUAUACAUGGUCUUUCCUCCAAAGUGUAUUUUUAAUCACACAUUUAAUUUUUUAUUAACCAUUUGAACCAAUUUUUCAAAUCAAAAUUUAUGAACUGAAUUGUUUCUUACUCAUUGUUUAACAAGCAAUGAGACGAAACUUUUAUUACGAAAUAAAAAAUACAACUCUUAGCAACGGAUAUCUUGGUUCUCGUAAAGAUGAAGAACGCAGC